CCUACGGGAGGCAGCAGUGGGGAAUUUUGGACAAUGGGCGAAAGCCUGAUCCAGCCAUUCCGCGUGCAGGAUGAAGGCCCUCGGGUUGUAAACUGCUUUUGUACAGAACGAAAAGGUUUCUACUAAUACUAGGAGCUCAUGACGGUACUGUAAGAAUAAGCACCGGCUAACUACGUGCCAGCAGCCGCGGUAAUACGUAGGGUGCAAGCGUUAAUCGAAAUUACUGGGCGUAAAGCGUGCGCAGGCGGUUAUAUAAGUCAGAUGUGAAAUCCCCGGGCUCAACCUGGGAACUGCAUUUGAGACUGUAUAGCUAGAGUACGGUAGAGGGGGACGAAUUCCGCGUGUAGCAGUGAAAUGCGUAGAUAUGCGGAGGAACACCGAUGGCGAAGGCAAUCCCCUGGACCUGUACUGACGCUCAUGCACGAAAGCGUGGGGAGCAAACAGGAUUAGAUACCCUGGUAGUCCACGCCCUAAACGAUGUCAACUGGUUGUUGGGUCUUAACUGACUCAGUAACGAAGCUAACGCGUGAAGUUGACCGCUGGGGAGUCGGCCGCAAGGUUGAAACUUAAAGGGAAUUGACGGCNGNGAGNGCGAGGACGACGACGAGGAGGAGG
RNAcentral lists this ribosomal RNA (615 nucleotides) under uncultured bacterium. Its description in RNAcentral is "bacterial SSU rRNA". It matches the Rfam family "Bacterial small subunit ribosomal RNA", at positions 338 to 950 of the family's 1533-position model. The record is from RNAcentral.